ACGCUAGCUACAGGCUUAACACAUGCAAGUCGAGGGGCAGCAUGGUCUUAGCUUGCUAAGGCCGAUGGCGACCGGCGCACGGGUGAGUAACACGUAUCCAACCUGCCGUCUACUCUUGGACAGCCUUCUGAAAGGAAGAUUAAUACAAGAUGGCAUCAUGAGUCCGCAUGUUCACAUGAUUAAAGGUAUUCCGGUAGACGAUGGGGAUGCGUUCCAUUAGAUAGUAGGCGGGGUAACGGCCCACCUAGUCUUCGAUGGAUAGGGGUUCUGAGAGGAAGGUCCCCCACAUUGGAACUGAGACACGGUCCAAACUCCUACGGGAGGCAGCAGUGAGGAAUAUUGGUCAAUGGGCGAGAGCCUGAACCAGCCAAGUAGCGUGAAGGAUGACUGCCCUAUGGGUUGUAAACUUCUUUUAUAAAGGAAUAAAGUCGGGUAUGGAUACCCGUUUGCAUGUACUUUAUGAAUAAGGAUCGGCUAACUCCGUGCCAGCAGCCGCGGUAAUACGGAGGAUCCGAGCGUUAUCCGGAUUUAUUGGGUUUAAAGGGAGCGUAGAUGGAUGUUUAAGUCAGUUGUGAAAGUUUGCGGCUCAACCGUAAAAUUGCAGUUGAUACUGGAUAUCUUGAGUGCAGUUGAGGCAGGCGGAAUUCGUGGUGUAGCGGUGAAAUGCUUAGAUAUCACGAAGAACUCCGAUUGCGAAGGCAGCCUGCUAAGCUGCAACUGACAUUGAGGCUCGAAAGUGUGGGUAUCAAACAGGAUUAGAUACCCUGGUAGUCCACACGGUAAACGAUGAAUACUCGCUGUUUGCGAUAUACUGCAAGCGGCCAAGCGAAAGCGUUAAGUAUUCCACCUGGGGAGUACGCCGGCAACGGUGAAACUCAAAGGAAUUGACGGGGGCCCGCACAAGCGGAGGAACAUGUGGUUUAAUUCGAUGAUACGCGAGGAACCUUACCCGGGCUUAAAUUGCAGAUGAAUUACGGUGAAAGCCGUAAGCCGCAAGGCAUCUGUGAAGGUGCUGCAUGGUUGUCGUCAGCUCGUGCCGUGAGGUGUCGGCUUAAGUGCCAUAACGAGCGCAACCCUUGUUGUCAGUUACUAACAGGUUCCGCUGAGGACUCUGACAAGACUGCCAUCGUAAGAUGUGAGGAAGGUGGGGAUGACGUCAAAUCAGCACGGCCCUUACGUCCGGGGCUACACACGUGUUACAAUGGGGGGUACAGAGGGCCGCUACCACGCGAGUGGAUGCCAAUCCCCAAAACCUCUCUCAGUUCGGACUGGAGUCUGCAACCCGACUCCACGAAGCUGGAUUCGCUAGUAAUCGCGCAUCAGCCACGGCGCGGUGAAUACGUUCCCGGGCCUUGUACACACCGCCCGUCAAGCCAUGGGAGCCGGGGGUACAAGAAGUGCGUAACCGCGAGGAGCGCCCUAGGGUAAAACUGG
This 1434-nucleotide ribosomal RNA is filed under the name uncultured organism. RNAcentral describes it as "SSU rRNA". It matches the Rfam family "Bacterial small subunit ribosomal RNA". The record is from RNAcentral.